ACGAUUGGUUGGCUGCUCAGUGUGGUUGUCUGCCGACUGAAGAAUGGAGAAAGUAGAUGUAUGUUGAAACUUCCAUGAGAAAGAGGUCUCAGCCUGAGACAUACAGAGACCAGUGGGAAGAUGAACACUUGGUCAGACAGGCACAAGCUGAUUUUUCACAGUACUUUUCAAAAGUUCCCAGUAGCUAGAUAUCAAAAUUCCUUCUAAUUGGUUGAUUUGUUGAUGGGGUUUGUUUAUUGUUUAAUCCUUGAUUUUCUCAAAAUCAUAUAGACUGGUGAACAGUGGCAACGCAGUGUCACGAGUCUGUAAUUCUCAUGAACGUAACGCUUGAAACCCAAUAAGCUGAAUAAGAGGACUAGAUGUUACAUUUUUGUCCAGCUAAUGAGAAUAAUACCUUGAACUUUAUUUAUAUUUUCAUCUUAAACUCAUUAGCUAAAUGGGAUAUAUUGUAAAGAACAGUAUCAGUUAAAAGACUACAAAAAGAUUAGCAUCAGUUAAAGGAAGAAAAAGCCAUCUACCACAGCUUGUUCUUGCACCACAGAACAAGAUAUUGUCCACAGAAUGCUGCUUUUUGUAGCUAGGCUUAAACCGGUACUGUACAAAAAGGUGUGCACCAGCCAUAAGUAAUCGUCAACUACAUGAUCACUGACCCAUAAGUAAUCUACCAAAAUCACAAUGCCGAACAAAAUAAGAAUGACUUAGCACAAAGCCCCAUUAUACAACUAUUAGAACUCAAAGCAUCAUACACCAUUUUUUAUUUUCGCCACACAACAGAAACCUCAAACUAUAAAACAGGAAAAAAAAUCAAAUUUAAUUCAUAAAUCAGCUCUUUAAAAAAUCCAAAUAGCAAUUUUUAACUGACACCCAACUAGAUUUUCAACAAAGAUUAUCGAGGCAUUUCAUCAAACAUGUCGAAGGCUAUUACUAAUUCUACACAAACAACUCCAUUUCCUCUUUCCCUGUCCUCUCUUAGCUUAUAAACCUCUGAAGCGCUAUAAUUUAUAAACCAUCACAUGCCUAUAAUAGCACAAACUUGGUCAAAAUUUUGAGCCAAAAAUAACUAUAAAACAACGUUCCGCGUACAAUUUCAACAAAUAGGGGGAAAAACACACACACACACAAAGAUGCACUGCAUAUCUGUGCAACUACAGGAAUGCAAAAACCACGAAUUUGAAGUAGUAAGUGGGCUUUUGGCUUACCUGGACACCUUCGGAAGCGGUAGAGACGGGGGAAGAGGUGAAAUCGGAGUCAAGGGUAAGAAAAAGGAAAAUGGCGAGACCGAAAAACGAGAUUGCCAUUAGUAAAAGUAAGCCAAUGAACCAGGAAGUUUGCCUAAAGGGCAAAUUGAGAUUGGACUUGGAAGACAAUUCUCGAUAAACUAUUUGAGUCGGGGGAGAAAUUUGUUGAGCUGAAUUUGAAGAAGAAGAUGAUGAUGACCUGGAAGUGGAUUUCCUUCGAGAGAGAUUUUGUUGCUGAUGCUGCUGUUAGCUGCCUGAGGGAGCCACGGUUGAAGCUUUAUGGAAACUGCUGCUUGGCUGCUACCCAUUUUUUCCACCAACUACAUCGGAAUCUGACAACAGAGAGAUAGAGAGACAGAGAGAGGGGGGCUGGAAAUGGUGGAGCUGGAAAAUGAAAAUUUUGAGCAAGUGUUUUGAGUAAGUGUUUUGGCCGGCAGAAUGAAAAUUUUGAGUGUUUUAGAGUGAAUGAAUGUUCCGCCAAAAUCAAACGAUGCCGUUUAGUGUCUUUCUUUUUUUUUGGUAUAUCUCACAUUUUCUCAAGUGUCAUGUUAGAUAGUCUAAAGGCACAUUAUUAUUUUUAUAUCUAACAAAAAAAAA
This 1835-nucleotide long non-coding RNA is filed under the name Coffea arabica (coffee). Its description in RNAcentral is "long non-coding RNA (CARA_LNC006030)". The record is from RNAcentral. Lineage: Eukaryota; Viridiplantae; Streptophyta; Magnoliopsida; Gentianales; Rubiaceae.